CGAUACUAAACGGAAAGCGCUAAAGAAGCGUAGCCUGCUGUUGCUAUGGUUACCUUCUCAUGCAAACGCGAAUUUUGUGCUUGAGCGCCUAUUUUAGCGUAUUCUGUCUAACUUUCUUGGUUAAUGAAACGUUGUUUUAUAUAUUUAUGCGUUAAACGAUUACAUUUCUCUUAGACUCCCCACCCUGCAAACCCCCUUCCCGUAAUUCGCACCCUGAUCGUUUUGUUAGGAUACUUGUCGCUGUCCGUUCAGCACCACGAGCGCCUGAACCAUUGAAGACGUCGAGACUCCAGCAUAUGCACGACACUAAUUAAUUAGCUACUGUAAAUUACAUUAACCGCUAGAGGGCGAUCGAGCAUUGUUGAAGGCGAUAAACCCACACUGAAACAUUGGUGGGAGCCAAGACGAGCCAUCACAUGGUCUCUCAACAUGCGCUCUGUAGGGCCCCUAACGUUCGAGUUAUGCCAUCAGACUAAUGCGUUGUGACUGCUCCUUUCUCUUGUGACGAAGUCUUACAGCUGCCUCCAAAUCAAUGGAUGUCAAAGAAAUAUGAAACAAUCAUGACGGAGAAGAAGAACAAAUCCUGCCCGGAUAAUCAAAGACGGUGUUUCUCAAGACACCAGAUGAAUUCAGCACAACUUCUGUCAAAUUGCUCUUCGUUGUCUUUUAUUUUCUCCCUGCAGACGAAGGCCCCUUGUCACAUCUGUCGAAUUUGUAGUGUAAUUUGUAAUUAUUGCCCAUCAUGAGGUCUACAGCUUUAACCCGUCCUUAAUUAAAAGCAUAUUUAAGGUUCUGUCAGAGGCAGGAACGUAAACAGAUGGUUUUCUGUCAAGUGUACGAGCUCUGAAGAAUUCAUUCGAUGGAUCUCGUUUUGUAACGCGAGACGUCCCAUUAUCAUUAUUAUUAAAAACAACAACAUAAACCCUUCUUUCACGUGUUAUAGCUAAAAAUCCUUAUUUUUUUAUUUAUUUAAAAAAAAUCAGGGUAGUAAAACUCGUGCAAAUUAUAUCUUUUUAGUCCAUAACAAAGUUUACAUUUGCAUUAUUUUCAAUAUUUUGAGGCUCACAGAUACUCAGUGUUGGAAAACUGGAAAUUUAUUCAGACUUAAAGCUAAACGCAACGGAUACGAUUGAGUUUGCAUUAACAGCUCGUGACAUUAUUUAUAAUAUCACUUGAUUAACUGAAUUAAUAACGGUUUAAAUCGCGCAUUGUUGAAAGUGUAUUCUGUUUCACAACGCUGUAUUUCGCAUUCAGAAAUUCAGAUGAGCAAGCGAGCAGCAAUCAGUUCAAUUAUCUUCAAAAUAUUUACUU
This is a long non-coding RNA of Cyprinus carpio carpio, 1311 nucleotides long. Lineage: Eukaryota; Metazoa; Chordata; Actinopteri; Cypriniformes; Cyprinidae. The record is from Ensembl.